UUAGUGGCCAGGAGGGUGAGUAAUGCAUAGGAAUCUACCUAGUAGUAUGGGAUAGCCACUAGAAAUGGUGGGUAAUACUGUAUAAUCCCUGCGGGGGAAAGAUUUAUCGCUAUUAGAUGAGCCUAUGUCAGAUUAGCUAGUUGGUGGGGUAAUGGCCUACCAAGGCGGUGAUCUGUAGCUGGUCUGAGAGGAUGAUCAGCCACACUGGAACUGAGACACGGUCCAGACUCCUACGGGAGGCAGCAGUGGGGAAUAUUGGACAAUGGGCGCAAGCCUGAUCCAGCUAUGCCGCGUGAGUGAGGAAGGCCUUAGGGUUGUAAAACUCUUUCAGUAGGGAAGAUAAUGACGGUACCUACAGAAGAAGUCCCGGCAAACUCCGUGCCAGCAGCCGCGGUAAUACGGAGGGGGCAAGCGUGUUCCGGA
Molecule: ribosomal RNA, 423 nt
Filed under: Anaplasma marginale
Lineage: Bacteria; Pseudomonadati; Pseudomonadota; Alphaproteobacteria; Rickettsiales; Anaplasmataceae
Description: bacterial SSU rRNA
Rfam family: Bacterial small subunit ribosomal RNA
Source: RNAcentral